UGGAGUAUAAGAGCAAAUCCAACCCUUAUCUCUCAACUCUCAUUAUGUAUAAUUGACGUGGCAUAGAGAUUAUGAAGAUAGAAAGCUGAUUUAGCAACUCCAACACAACCUUCUUAUUAUCUAUAACUUCAGGGUUUUGUAUAUUCACUAGAAAACCCCAUUCAGUAAAAAGAGUCCAGUUAUUUCACAAUGUAAUGUAAUUUCAGUGUUCCACACACCUCCUCCCCAUUUUCUUUAGUUCCAGAAACCAAAGUCCAAGGUAUGUUAAAACUCAACUAUCAUUUACAAAUGCUGAAUUUUAAUUAAGAUAUUUUAUUUGUCAAUUUAGAGAUGAUGAAAAUAGAUUGAGAUGGGCUUAAUUUUCUGUCAAACAUAUUAGAUUUUGAAUGUUUGUGUGGUGUUUUCUUGUUUGCUGUAUAUUAUAUUGGAUUGUCUACUAUGUGUUUGAUCUAUUGUUGUAAAGAGCUUUCAAUGUUGCCAUGGAUUUUUGAGUGUUGUCAUGUGUUUGUCUCAAUUUUGAUAUUUUAAUUACUGGUUAUGUUAGUUGAAUCAAAUACAUGUAUAUGCUUGUGCUUCUUCUAUUGUGAAGAGUCUAAAACAGUCUAGUUGAGCUCUCACGUAUCUUAUUUUUUAGGACAAUCAGAAUUUGCAGUGACUUGAUAAAUUGUGUUUGUAGAAAAUGGAUUCAUCUUCAAUUCAAUUGCUUAAUAAUAGGGUAUAUAAUGAAGGGAUGAGUUCAGAAUCGCCUCCAUUAUCACAAGCACACGAAGCAACAAAUAAAAUGAAAAAGGCAAAGUGCCGGUCAAAAAAUCUCACGAUUCAACAAUAUAUGUUACUUAUAUCCGCGUGGGAAGAUGUGAGUUUGGACCCAAUACAAGGCGAUAAUCAAACAUAACAAACAUAUUGGAGUAGAAUAACAAGCUACUUCAACGAGUACAAAACAUUCACAAGUGAAUGAACUCAAGCUCUCUAUGUAAUCGUUGGUCAUCGAUACAAUUUUAUGUGAGCAAAUAGACAG
RNAcentral lists this long non-coding RNA (1018 nucleotides) under Daucus carota (carrot). RNAcentral's name for it is "long non-coding RNA (DCAR_LNC002753)". The record is from RNAcentral. Lineage: Eukaryota; Viridiplantae; Streptophyta; Magnoliopsida; Apiales; Apiaceae.